AGCGAACGUUAGCGGCGCGCCUAACACAUGCAAGUCGCACGAGAAAGGGAGCAAUCCCCGGUACAGUGGCGCACGGGUGAGUAACACGUAGAUGACCUUCCCUGGAGUGGUGGAUAACCUGCCGAAAGGCGGGCUAAUACAGCAUGGGACCACAUGGUUUUGACCGAGUGGUGAAAGCGGGCCUCUGUUCACAAGCUCGCGCUCUGGGAUGGGUCUGCGUCCCAUCAGCUAGCUGGUGAGGUAAUGGCUCACCAAGGCAUCGACGGGUAGCUGGUCUGAGAGGAUGACCAGCCACACUGGAACUGAGACACGGUCCAGACUCCUACGGGAGGCAGCAGUGGGGAAUCUUGCGCAAUGGGCGAAAGCCUGACGCAGCGACGCCGCGUGGGUGAUGAAGGCCUCGGUGUAAGACCGUCUGGAGGAGGAACGUACGGGACGGA
Molecule: ribosomal RNA, 440 nt
Filed under: uncultured bacterium
Lineage: Bacteria
Description: bacterial SSU rRNA
Rfam family: Bacterial small subunit ribosomal RNA
Source: RNAcentral